This 24-nucleotide non-coding RNA is filed under the name Cricetulus griseus (Chinese hamster). The record is from RNAcentral. Lineage: Eukaryota; Metazoa; Chordata; Mammalia; Rodentia; Cricetidae.
UGGGGGGGGGUAUGUCAAUUUUUG